CUUUGCACAAGCCUUCCUAUACUCCAAGUAUUUUUGUGGUGAUUGAACCAUGAUGAGAUAAAAGCUUGUGGGGAGUCAGGUGAACUACUUCAUGUCUUCACCUCCAGGAAUGGAGACGCACAACUGCAUGCAAUUAGUUCAUUGUUUAUGGUAGCAAAGAACAAGUCUCCUUACAGUCAGUCAAUGUUUGUGUUUGUAUAUAAUAGCUAAUUCUAGCUUUGUUCAAGUUCUAGGAAAAAGGUGUUUUUGAUUUACCCAAGAGAAAGUCCUCCAAUUAUAUACCAACAGGAUAAGCACUGAGUUGUUGAUUUGAAUCUAACACCAAUUUAUUGUGGAUAAUGGUGUCUGGAGAGAAUGAUAUAUAGAUAAAUACUAGCAUAAUAAAAGAUAACAUCAAUCUUAAAAGCUUUGUCUUGCUUGCAUAUUUAAAUCACCAGGAGCUACAAAAGUACUAGCAGAAGGUUUGCAUGACAGAGAGCUGUUGGUGAUGGAAUAUCCAAAAACUGCAUGGGGCAUUUGAGCCACUGCGAUCAGGUUGAAGCAGAUGAAUUCAGCCUGGUAGUUUUGAAAAGUGUCAUAAACACCAGAAAACUGGAAGGAGUGUGGAUAACCAAGCAGGAAACUUUGUGUCAGAGAGAGGAAUUGAUCACAUGGUCACACAGCAUAAAAAUUUAUUGCUUGGAUACCACUAAGGCCACCUUUGCACCAGUGUUGCAGUAGCAGUAUCAGUUUAAUUAGAAGCUUACUGUGUGACUCCCACAAACCAACUGAUUAUUGACGCGGGGAAACUACUGGAGCAAGAAAGUUAUAUGAAGAUGAUAGAAGAGAGGGAGAUUUUUAAGGCUAGAGCUGCUGAAAGGAGUAUUUGCAGAGACAUCUAAAGAUCCAGUCCUGUUGAACAAAACUGACUUAUAAGGAGGCUACAAAUAUUCAGCCUUUGUAUAGCUUCAGCAUCAUUUUCAGUGAGUUCAUAUCCCUGUGCAGAGGCAGUCAUGCAUCCGUUCAUGCUCGGAGAAGAUCAGUCUCUGUUCUGUUCUAUGUGUUCAGGAGUGGCCUUGCCACAAACUGGAUGAGAAACAGCACAUUUCAGUUUGGAUCAAACUUCACACCGCUGCGGCUUCCUGACCAGAGUUGGCUCGCAUCUAAUUGAUUUGGAAAAUAUACUGUUAGAAUUAGUUCCCAUGGGGAAAUGAGUUCUGCUGACUGAUCUCAUUGGUCAGAGUAAAAUAAUGCACAGUGUAAAAUAUACAUAGCAAUUAAAGAACAAGGGUGUUUUCAGUGAAAACUAGAAGAAAAGAAAUAUUUAUCUUCUAUUGUCAUUUUUCGUAAAAUUGAAUAUGCUGUAACUGAGAUAUUUUUUUUUUCUUUUUUCUGUUUUGUGAAGUAAAUU
RNAcentral lists this long non-coding RNA (1390 nucleotides) under Phasianus colchicus (ring-necked pheasant). RNAcentral describes it as "lncRNA (ENSPCLG00000021418.1)". The record is from RNAcentral. Lineage: Eukaryota; Metazoa; Chordata; Aves; Galliformes; Phasianidae.